CUCUCUCUCUUCAACAGCAUCGAAUCUCCUCCAUGAUUUUUCAGAUUGGAGGAAGAAGAAGAACCUUUCUUCAAUGGCUUCCGAACAGUUCACGUUUAGGUAUCGAUACAUCUAGAUGCAAUCCGAGCCACCAAUUUCGUUGCUAUCAUCCACCCAUUCCUUCCGUAGAGGCUCCAAAAUGCGCUGGAUUUUCGAGAAAUUUCCAAAGGCCUGGACAUACAGCUGUCCUGUCCGAUGCCAGUGCCCCAUGCUCUUAUCUUACACCAUCAAAUGCUAGUAUAAACAGGCACGGUUCUAGCCCAGCAGUGUGGAAUGCCAGCAUCAAUGGUGGGUCAGUUUUGUUCGGUUUCACCCGUUUCAGCAGCUUACCUUAAGAUUGAUGGGCUAGGGAUCAACGGAACGUUGGGUCUCCGGCUAUCAAGCCUCCUCUCACUAAAAUAUAUGACGCAUCUGAAUCAUGGGGUCUUUCAGCUUCAUUAGCAUAAUCAUGCUGCCGAUUGCUGGAAAUGUAGCAGAACAGGCUGGUGCAAUCUCCUUUGCUUUUAAGAACAAACUUACAUUUCUCUAGGCAUUGCCUUAGGCUCUGCAAACUCAAAUUGCAAUGUUUGUGGUAAGAUUUUUGUGGGGACUCAGAACCUUGAUUACGAAUCCUCGAAAAGGUAGCUCUAUUUCCAGCAAGUUCCUUGUAUUUGCUUUUCUAAGUUUUUAUAAAAUACUAGUGAAAUGGUAAUUGUAUCUGUUUUUGCUUCCCCAUUUUUGUAUCUUUGUAAUACCCUCUUGCAGUGGAGAGAAGUCGACAGCUGAGUGCAUUGCAGAAGCCGUUGUUGACAACCGGGCUGAAUU
Molecule: long non-coding RNA, 843 nt
Organism: Magnolia sinica
Lineage: Eukaryota; Viridiplantae; Streptophyta; Magnoliopsida; Magnoliales; Magnoliaceae
Exons: 5
Source: RefSeq, a predicted model, not a curated record